GCUGUAGCUUAGUGGCAGAACAUAUGUCUUAUAUGGAGAAUGCCCCAGGUUCAAAGCCUGGCAUCUCCA
This is a non-coding RNA of Podarcis lilfordi (Lilford's wall lizard), 69 nucleotides long. The record is from the annotation of a GenBank genome assembly. Lineage: Eukaryota; Metazoa; Chordata; Lepidosauria; Squamata; Lacertidae.